RNAcentral lists this ribosomal RNA (2932 nucleotides) under Escherichia coli. Its description in RNAcentral is "23S ribosomal RNA". It matches the Rfam family "Bacterial large subunit ribosomal RNA". Lineage: Bacteria; Pseudomonadati; Pseudomonadota; Gammaproteobacteria; Enterobacterales; Enterobacteriaceae. The record is from RNAcentral.
GGGUUGUGAGGUUAAGCGACUAAGCGUACACGGUGGAUGCCCUGGCAGUCAGAGGCGAUGAAGGACGUGCUAAUCUGCGAUAAGCGUCGGUAAGGUGAUAUGAACCGUUAUAACCGGCGAUUUCCGAAUGGGGAAACCCAGUGUGAUUCGUCACACUAUCAUUAACUGAAUCCAUAGGUUAAUGAGGCGAACCGGGGGAACUGAAACAUCUAAGUACCCCGAGGAAAAGAAAUCAACCGAGAUUCCCCCAGUAGCGGCGAGCGAACGGGGAGGAGCCCAGAGCCUGAAUCAGUGUGUGUGUUAGUGGAAGCGUCUGGAAAGGCGCGCGAUACAGGGUGACAGCCCCGUACACAAAAAUGCACAUGCUGUGAGCUCGAUGAGUAGGGCGGGACACGUGGUAUCCUGUCUGAAUAUGGGGGGACCAUCCUCCAAGGCUAAAUACUCCUGACUGACCGAUAGUGAACCAGUACCGUGAGGGAAAGGCGAAAAGAACCCCGGCGAGGGGAGUGAAAAAGAACCUGAAACCGUGUACGUACAAGCAGUGGGAGCACAGAGCAAUCUGUGUGACUGCGUACCUUUUGUAUAAUGGGUCAGCGACUUAUAUUCUGUAGCAAGGUUAACCGAAUAGGGGAGCCGAAGGGAAACCGAGUCUUAACUGGGCGUUAAGUUGCAGGGUAUAGACCCGAAACCCGGUGAUCUAGCCAUGGGCAGGUUGAAGGUUGGGUAACACUAACUGGAGGACCGAACCGACUAAUGUUGAAAAAUUAGCGGAUGACUUGUGGCUGGGGGUGAAAGGCCAAUCAAACCGGGAGAUAGCUGGUUCUCCCCGAAAGCUAUUUAGGUAGCGCCUCGUGAAUUCAUCUCCGGGGGUAGAGCACUGUUUCGGCAAGGGGGUCAUCCCGACUUACCAACCCGAUGCAAACUGCGAAUACCGGAGAAUGUUAUCACGGGAGACACACGGCGGGUGCUAACGUCCGUCGUGAAGAGGGAAACAACCCAGACCGCCAGCUAAGGUCCCAAAGUCAUGGUUAAGUGGGAAACGAUGUGGGAAGGCCCAGACAGCCAGGAUGUUGGCUUAGAAGCAGCCAUCAUUUAAAGAAAGCGUAAUAGCUCACUGGUCGAGUCGGCCUGCGCGGAAGAUGUAACGGGGCUAAACCAUGCACCGAAGCUGCGGCAGCAACACUGUGUGUUGUUGGGUAGGGGAGCGUUCUGUAAGCCUGUGAAGGUGUGCUGUGAGGCAUGCUGGAGGUAUCAGAAGUGCGAAUGCUGACAUAAGUAACGAUAAAGCGGGUGAAAAGCCCGCUCGCCGGAAGACCAAGGGUUCCUGUCCAACGUUAAUCGGGGCAGGGUGAGUCGACCCCUAAGGCGAGGCCGAAAGGCGUAGUCGAUGGGAAACAGGUUAAUAUUCCUGUACUUGGUGUUACUGCGAAGGGGGGACGGAGAAGGCUAUGUUGGCCGGGCGACGGUUGUCCCGGUUUAAGCGUGUAGGCUGGUUUUCCAGGCAAAUCCGGAAAAUCAAGGCUGAGGCGUGAUGACGAGGCACUACGGUGCUGAAGCAACAAAUGCCCUGCUUCCAGGAAAAGCCUCUAAGCAUCAGGUAACAUCAAAUCGUACCCCAAACCGACACAGGUGGUCAGGUAGAGAAUACCAAGGCGCUUGAGAGAACUCGGGUGAAGGAACUAGGCAAAAUGGUGCCGUAACUUCGGGAGAAGGCACGCUGAUAUGUAGGUGAAGUCCCUCGCGGAUGGAGCUGAAAUCAGUCGAAGAUACCAGCUGGCUGCAACUGUUUAUUAAAAACACAGCACUGUGCAAACACGAAAGUGGACGUAUACGGUGUGACGCCUGCCCGGUGCCGGAAGGUUAAUUGAUGGGGUCAGCGCAAGCGAAGCUCUUGAUCGAAGCCCCGGUAAACGGCGGCCGUAACUAUAACGGUCCUAAGGUAGCGAAAUUCCUUGUCGGGUAAGUUCCGACCUGCACGAAUGGCGUAAUGAUGGCCAGGCUGUCUCCACCCGAGACUCAGUGAAAUUGAACUCGCUGUGAAGAUGCAGUGUACCCGCGGCAAGACGGAAAGACCCCGUGAACCUUUACUAUAGCUUGACACUGAACAUUGAGCCUUGAUGUGUAGGAUAGGUGGGAGGCUUUGAAGUGUGGACGCCAGUCUGCAUGGAGCCGACCUUGAAAUACCACCCUUUAAUGUUUGAUGUUCUAACGUGGACCCGUGAUCCGGGUUGCGGACAGUGUCUGGUGGGUAGUUUGACUGGGGCGGUCUCCUCCUAAAGAGUAACGGAGGAGCACGAAGGUUGGCUAAUCCUGGUCGGACAUCAGGAGGUUAGUGCAAUGGCAUAAGCCAGCUUGACUGCGAGCGUGACGGCGCGAGCAGGUGCGAAAGCAGGUCAUAGUGAUCCGGUGGUUCUGAAUGGAAGGGCCAUCGCUCAACGGAUAAAAGGUACUCCGGGGAUAACAGGCUGAUACCGCCCAAGAGUUCAUAUCGACGGCGGUGUUUGGCACCUCGAUGUCGGCUCAUCACAUCCUGGGGCUGAAGUAGGUCCCAAGGGUAUGGCUGUUCGCCAUUUAAAGUGGUACGCGAGCUGGGUUUAGAACGUCGUGAGACAGUUCGGUCCCUAUCUGCCGUGGGCGCUGGAGAACUGAGGGGGGCUGCUCCUAGUACGAGAGGACCGGAGUGGACGCAUCACUGGUGUUCGGGUUGUCAUGCCAAUGGCACUGCCCGGUAGCUAAAUGCGGAAGAGAUAAGUGCUGAAAGCAUCUAAGCACGAAACUUGCCCCGAGAUGAGUUCUCCCUGACCCUUUAAGGGUCCUGAAGGAACGUUGAAGACGACGACGUUGAUAGGCCGGGUGUGUAAGCGCAGCGAUGCGUUGAGCUAACCGGUACUAAUGAACCGUGAGGCUUAACCUUACAACGCCGAAGGUGUUU